RNAcentral lists this ribosomal RNA (253 nucleotides) under uncultured bacterium. RNAcentral describes it as "partial 16S ribosomal RNA". It matches the Rfam family "Bacterial small subunit ribosomal RNA", at positions 524 to 776 of the family's 1533-position model. The record is from RNAcentral.
UACAGAGGUCUCAAGCGUUGUUCGGAUUCAUUGGGCGUAAAGAGCUCGUAGGCGGCUUGUCGCGUCGGUUGUGAAAGCCCGGGGCUUAACCCCGGGUCUGCAGUCGAUACGGGCAGGCUAGAGUUCGGUAGGGGAGAUCGGAAUUCCUGGUGUAGCGGUGAAAUGCGCAGAUAUCAGGAGGAACACCGGUGGCGAAGGCGGAUCUCUGGGCCGAUACUGACGCUGAGGAGCGAAAGCGUGGGGAGCGAACAGG